RNAcentral lists this ribosomal RNA (477 nucleotides) under uncultured bacterium. RNAcentral's name for it is "SSU rRNA". It matches the Rfam family "Bacterial small subunit ribosomal RNA", at positions 26 to 523 of the family's 1533-position model. The record is from RNAcentral.
AGAACGAACGCUGGCGGCAUGCCUAACACAUGCAAGUCGAACGCUUUGCCGGUUUCGGCCGGCAAGGAGUGGCGCACGGGUGAGUAGCGCGUGGGAACCUGCCCUGUUGUGGGGGAUAACCGAGGGAAACUUCGGCUAAUACCGCAUAAGCCGGUUGUCUUGAAAGAGAUGGCCGGGAAAGAUUUAUCGCGACAGGAGGGGCCCGCGUCGGAUUAGCUAGUUGGCGGGGUAACGGCCCACCAAGGCUGUGAUCCGUAGCUGGUCUGAGAGGAUGAUCAGCCACACUGGGACUGAGACACGGCCCAGACUCCUACGGGAGGCAGCAGUGGGGAAUAUUGGACAAUGGGCGCAAGCCUGAUCCAGCAAUGCCGCGUGAGUGAUGAAGGCCUUAGGGUUGUAAAGCUCUUUCGCCCGCGACGAUGAUGACGGUAGCGGGAGAAGAAGCCCCGGCUAACUUCGUGCCAGCAGCCGCGGUAA